ACAACUCCUUAAGUGCUACAAAAAAAUAUUUCUUUAUGAGAUGGUGAGGUUUAUAAAUGAAUCAAAUCUUAUUCUAUUUGUUAUAUUAAAAGUACAGAAAAUAUGGUAGCAGUUCUCAAGUUUAUAUAUGCUAUGUUGCUAUUUACUUCUUUAUUCCUUUUUGCAACGAACAUUGCCGAAUAUAUUGAUUGUGUAGAUGAAACACAAUGCCAAGAAAAAUACAAAUGCGCUCCUGAUUUGUAUCUGAAGUGUGUUGAUACUUGGUGUCACUGUUUGAAAAACUAGGACAAAAUGCCUUAAAUUGAUGAAUAAGUGAUCAAGCUAGCAUAAUAUCUAUGUAAAAAUUGAUGAAUAAGUUAUCAAGCUUGCUAGCAUAAUAUCUAUGUAAUAAUAAGUCCUAAAUGUGAUCAUAUAUAUAUAUGGUGUCAUCUAAUUAUUAUGGUGGUAUCAAGUAAAUGUAUUUUAUAUUUAUUUCUUUUUUCUA
This is a long non-coding RNA of Trifolium pratense (red clover), 484 nucleotides long. RefSeq lists it as uncharacterized. The record is from RefSeq and is a predicted model, not a curated record. Lineage: Eukaryota; Viridiplantae; Streptophyta; Magnoliopsida; Fabales; Fabaceae. The transcript has 2 exons.